AAUAAACUCAGGAGAGUCUCUUCCCCAUUUUUAACAAGGUGGAAGAGCGCCGAAGGUGUAAGCGGUAUCAUGCUGUCCCGCAUCGGAUACCGUGAGUCUCUCAGGCAAAAGGAUGGAGGUAUAA
Molecule: non-coding RNA, 124 nt
Filed under: uncultured Mediterraneibacter sp.
Lineage: Bacteria; Bacillati; Bacillota; Clostridia; Lachnospirales; Lachnospiraceae
Description: Glycine riboswitch
Rfam family: Glycine riboswitch aptamer
About the family: This family represents the bacterial glycine riboswitch. Glycine riboswitches usually consist of two metabolite-binding aptamers domains with similar structures in tandem.
Source: RNAcentral